CCUACGGGAGGCAGCAGUGGGGAAUUUUGGACAAUGGGGGAAACCCUGAUCCAGCCAUUCCGCGUGAGUGAAGAAGGCCUUCGGGUUGUAAAGCUCUUUCGGCAGGAACGAAACGGCGGACUCUAACAUAGUCUGUCAAUGACGGUACCUGAAGAAGAAGCACCGGCUAACUACGUGCCAGCAGCCGCGGUAAUACGUAGGGUGCGAGCGUUAAUCGGAAUUACUGGGCGUAAAGCGUGCGCAGGCGGCUUUGUAAGACGGAGGUGAAAGCCCGGGGCUAAACCUAGGAACUGCGUUCGUGACUGCAAAGCGGGAGUGCGGCAGAGGGGGGUGAAAUUCCUGGUGUAGCAGUGAAAUGCGUAGAGAUCAGGAGGAACACCGAGGGCGAAGGCAGCCCCCGGGGUUGACACUGACGCUGUUGCACGAAAGCGUGGGGAGCAAACAGGAUUAGAUACCCUUGUAGU
RNAcentral lists this ribosomal RNA (464 nucleotides) under uncultured Rhodocyclaceae bacterium. RNAcentral describes it as "partial 16S ribosomal RNA". It matches the Rfam family "Bacterial small subunit ribosomal RNA", at positions 338 to 794 of the family's 1533-position model. Lineage: Bacteria; Pseudomonadati; Pseudomonadota; Betaproteobacteria; Rhodocyclales; Rhodocyclaceae. The record is from RNAcentral.